Molecule: transfer RNA, 72 nt
Filed under: Trichonephila inaurata madagascariensis
Lineage: Eukaryota; Metazoa; Arthropoda; Arachnida; Araneae; Nephilidae
Rfam family: tRNA
About the family: Transfer RNA (tRNA) molecules are approximately 80 nucleotides in length.
Source: Rfam by way of RNAcentral
GGGGGUAUAGCUCAGCGGUAGAGCGUUCGACUACCAAUCGAAAGGUCCUCGGUUCAAAUCCGGGUACCCCUG